Molecule: ribosomal RNA, 278 nt
Filed under: uncultured Prevotella sp.
Lineage: Bacteria; Pseudomonadati; Bacteroidota; Bacteroidia; Bacteroidales; Prevotellaceae
Description: partial 16S ribosomal RNA
Rfam family: Bacterial small subunit ribosomal RNA
Source: RNAcentral
GCAGCCGCGGUAAUACGUAGGGGGCGAGCGUUGUCCGGAAUGACUGGGCGUAAAGGGCGCGUAGGCGGCUUAGUAAGUUAGAGGUGAAAGUCCAGCUUUCAAGGUUGGAAUUGCCUUUAAUACUGCUGAGCUUGAGUGCGGAAGAGGUAAGUGGAAUUCCCAGUGUAGCGGUGAAAUGCGUAGAGAUUGGGAGGAACACCAGUGGCGAAGGCGACUUACUGGGCCGUAACUGACGCUGAGGCGCGAAAGCGUGGGGAGCGAACAGGAUUAGAUACCCC